RNAcentral lists this ribosomal RNA (491 nucleotides) under uncultured bacterium. RNAcentral's name for it is "bacterial SSU rRNA". It matches the Rfam family "Bacterial small subunit ribosomal RNA", at positions 45 to 507 of the family's 1533-position model. The record is from RNAcentral.
UGCUUAACACAUGCAAGUCGAACGAGACGAUUUAGAAGCUUGCUUUAUGAGUCGAGUGGCAAACGGGUGAGUAACGCGUAGACAACCUGCCGCAAAGACUGGGGACACAGUCCGAAAGGACUGCUAAUACCGAAUGUUGUAUCUUCUCCGCAUGGAAGAGAUAUUAAAGAUGGCCUCUACUUGUAAGCUAUCGCUUUGCGAUGGGUCUGCGUCUGAUUAGCUAGUUGGUGGGGCAACGGCCUACCAAGGUGACGAUCAGUAGCCGGUCUGAGAGGAUGAACGGCCACAUUGGAACUGAGACACGGUCCAGACUCCUACGGGAGGCAGCAGUGGGGAAUCUUCCGCAAUGGGCGAAAGCCUGACGGAGCAACGCCGCGUGAGUGAAGAAGGUCUUCGGAUCGUAAAGCUCUGUUGUCGGGGACGAAUGUUGAGAUCUAGAAUAUAGAUUUCAAAUGACGGUACCUGACGAGGAAGCCACGGCUAACUACGUG